GCGAAGCUCUUGAUCGAAGCCCCAGUAAACGGCGGCCGUAACUAUAACGGUCCUAAGGUAGCGAAAUUCCUUGUCGGGUAAGUUCCGACCUGCACGAAUGGCAUAAUGAUGGCGGCGCUGUCUCCAGCAGAGGCUCAGUGAAAUCGAAAUCGCUGUGAAGAUGCAGUGUACCCGCGGCUAGACGGAAAGACCCCGUGAACCUUUACUGCAGCUUGACACUGAACUUUGACCUUACUUGUGUAGGAUAGGUGGGAGGCUUUGAAGCUGGAACGCUAGUUCCAGUGGAGCCGUCCUUGAAAUACCACCCUGGUAAUGUUGAGGUUCUAACUCUGUCCCGUGAUCCGGGACGAGGACCGUGUCUGGUGGGUAGUUUGACUGGGGCGGUCUCCUCCUAAAGAGUAACGGAGGAGUACGAAGGUGCGCUCAGCGUGGUCGGAAAUCACGCGUAGAGUAUAAAGGCAAAAGCGCGCUUAACUGCGAGACCCACAAGUCGAGCAGGUACGAAAGUAGGUCUUAGUGAUCCGGUGGUUCUGUAUGGAAGGGCCAUCGCUCAACGGAUAAAAGGUACUCUGGGGAUAACAGGCUGAUACCGCCCAAGAGUUCAUAUCGACGGCGGUGUUUGGCACCUCGAUGUCGGCUCAUCUCAUCCUGGGGCUGAAGCAGGUCCCAAGGGUAUGGCUGUUCGCCAUUUAAAGAGGUACGCGAGCUGGGUUUAGAACGUCGUGAGACAGUUCGGUCCCUAUCUACCGUGGGCGCUGGAAAUUUGAGAGGAUCUGCUCCUAGUACGAGAGGACCAGAGUGGACGAACCUCUGGUGUACCGGUUGUGACGCCAGUCGCAUCGCCGGGUAGCUAUGUUCGGAAGGGAUAACCGCUGAAAGCAUCUAAGCGGGAAGCCUACCUCAAGAUAAGAUUUCCCUAGGACUUUAUGUCCUCUAAAGAGCCGUUCGAGACUAGGACGUUGAUAGGUUGGAUGUGGAAGCAUAGUGAUAUGUGAAGCUGACCAAUACUAAUUGCUCGUGAGGCUUGACUAUACAACACCCAAGCAGUUG
This 1050-nucleotide ribosomal RNA is filed under the name Acinetobacter baumannii. Its description in RNAcentral is "bacterial LSU rRNA". It matches the Rfam family "Bacterial large subunit ribosomal RNA", at positions 1899 to 2925 of the family's 2925-position model. The record is from RNAcentral. Lineage: Bacteria; Pseudomonadati; Pseudomonadota; Gammaproteobacteria; Moraxellales; Moraxellaceae.